RNAcentral lists this ribosomal RNA (410 nucleotides) under Siphula ceratites. Its description in RNAcentral is "SSU rRNA". It matches the Rfam family "Bacterial small subunit ribosomal RNA", at positions 348 to 760 of the family's 1533-position model. Lineage: Eukaryota; Fungi; Ascomycota; Lecanoromycetes; Pertusariales; Icmadophilaceae. The record is from RNAcentral.
UUAGCAGUGAGGAAUAUUGGUCAAUAGCCUAACGGCUGAACCAGCAACUUGGAAGAAUGUAUAGCGAAAGCUAAUUGCAUAGUUUGUUUUAAUUAAAUUAUGCAAUGUCGACUAUGUCGUAUAAAGUUCUAAAUAGAAUAAUGAUGAUGACAUAUUCUAUUUAUGUGUCUUGACCAAUUCACGUGCCWGCAGUCGCGGCAACACGUGUAAGACUAGUGUUAUUCAUCUUUAAUAGGUUUAAAGGGUACUUAGACGGUAAAUCAAGCCCCCCAAAGGGUACUAAUUUUCUAGAGUUUUAUAGGAUAGGGGAAGUACUACUGGUGUAAAGAUGAAAUUUUGUGAUACCAUUAUUGGACUGUCAAAGGCGAAAGCAACCCUUUAUGUAUAAACUGACGUUGAAGGACGAAGGG